GAGUCAAGCUCAGAGUGACGCCCAGCCGCCAUAAAUGAGGCGAAGGGGGCGGGGCCAGGGACAUCAAGUCUGAGGGCACAGAAGAGACAAUCAGCGCGGUGGAGAUUUAGAAGCAGAGUGAGGACUCACUGUUGGACGGAGGAUCUUUGCAUUCCCCCUCCUCGAUGGUGACGUCAUCGAUGGCGAUGUCUCCCUCGAUGCCGGCGCCGCGCACGCCCUCCAUCACCACCUGGCGUGGAGAACACGCAGGUGACCAAUCACAGCGCUGCCCACUACUUGCUGUCCAUAUCUUACCAAGGUGUGCACCAGUAACCAGGCAAAGAGUUUUUCUAAAGAUGAAUGACAACGUUGGACUAAGACGUGGGUCACCAGGUUUCCCCUUUGGAGCCAGGCCUGGGGGCGAGGCUCGUGCUUCGGACAAUCCACUACAGGAUCCCCUGUGAUGAACCACAACUCCUGCCCCCGUGACCUGACUCCAGAUAAGUGGAAGAUGGAUGGAUGAAUAAAAAAAUAUUACUAGUGAGAAACCUCACCAUUUGAUCCGAGUCUGAUUCCUCAGGAGACCAUGGGGAAGACCCAGGACAUGGUGGAGAGACUAUGUCUCCCAACUGGCCUGGGAACACCUCUGGAUCACUCGGGAGGACUUGGACCUAGUAUCUGGGGAAAGGAAAGUCUGGUCUUCUCUGCUUAGGCUGCUGCCCCCACGACCUGACUCCGGAUAAGCGGGAGAAGAUGGAUGGAUUAUAGUGGAACUUUUUCAAAAUAGUUUCGAUGUUAGAGAAGAUCCUUCUGGUUUUAUGAAGAUGACUUCAACUGUCUUUUAAACAUUUUGAAAUAAGAAGUGAAAAAAUCCCCUUUUUCUAACCAAUUUUUGAAAGUUAGGAUUCCAUUGAGAGUCGGGAUGAAGGAUUUUUUAAAUAAUUUAAAUCGGGAUGAAUAACAAUCGCGAUUUGGAUGUUAAAUAAUUUUUUAUUGCACCUCUAAGACGGCCUAAAAACUACAUUUCAAAAAUAGUUUUUUAUGAAAGUCCCAAAAAUUUAACAUUUAAAAUUUUUUUGUGAUGUUUUUGAAAUGGACUUUCAAAAAUGUUGCAUGAUUUUAAUCAGGAUGAAUAACAAUCGUGAUUUGGAUGUUAAAUAAUUAUUCUUUUUGUCACGGCCAGGGCGCAUUGGAAUGCGCCCUCAUCCUUGCGCGCUGCAAGCACCGCAGGACACGCCCCCGCACGCGCCGCGCAGACCGCGGCCAUGCGCCUCCACAGCUGGCGGCAAUCAUCUAUCAGCACACCUGCCGGUAAUGAAGGAGCUGCCUUCACAAGCUUGGACAACCUGGCAUGCCGCCGCCGGAAUAUAGUCUCCUGUACAUACCCUCCGUCGCCUUGUAAGUGAGCUGUGCGUCUCACUUCUCCCCGGAUCUCCCUCUGGACUCUGACUGCCUCCCUCGAUCCUUGAUUUCCCUCGCAUUGGACUCGGACUCGUAGACUUCCCUCUGCCCUGGACUUCCUCGUCUAUUGACAACAUUUGGUAACAUUUUAGUCAGUUAAAUACUACACAUAGUCUUACCCCAUACACACCCUUGGAUUUUGACACACACCAUUUUAUAGUUUAUUAGUGUUGUUUAUUAUUAUUAUAUAUAUUAACUAUAUAUAUAUAAUAAAUCAUUGUACAUUACUGCCCUCUAGUGUCUGUUGCCGUCACCUUCCCCUGCAAACUAUAACAGUAUAUUCCGGCCAAUUGAUUAGGGACCUGACGGCACAGUUUCUUAGCCCCGCCCCCAGUGACAAUUUUAUUUUUAUUUUUUUCUUCCUUUUUUUCUUUUUGCCCCUCUCAGGACGUCUUUUUCUUUUACCUCCACCCUGGACAAUUUUUCUAGCCCUCCUCAACACUCCUUCAAGGGACUGUUUAACUCCAGUAUGGGGAUGGAGGAAUUUACCCGUCGCCUGAACACCCUCCUCCCACCCUUAGUGACUGUUCCUCAGCCAGCAAGAAGCGUCUGGCAUCCGCUUUCGCAGGGGGGGGGGAUAGUACUGGUGGCUGUGCUGGUGUGGUGGCGCAGCUGCACCCAGACAGGCUAACCCCUGCCAGACUAAUUCCACCUGUCUUCCGCUUUUCCCAGCCGCAGCCACCAGUCCCCUGGCUAGCGUCCGAGCUAGCACCAGUCCCCCGGCUAGCGUCCGAGCUAGCACCAGUCCCCCGGCCGAGCGUCCGAGCUAGCCCUAGUCCCCCGGCUAGCGUCCGAGCUAGCACCAGUCCCCCGGCUAGCGUCUGAGCUAGCACCAGUCCCCCGGCUAGCGUCUGAGCUAGCACCAGUCCCCCGGCUAGCGUCCGAGCUAGCCGGGCGUAAUAUCGCUAAAAUUCGUUCCAUCUUGUCCACUAGCGACACUGAGAUCAUUAUUCAUGCGUUCGUUACGUCUCGUCUCGAUUACUGUAACGUAUUAUUUUCGGGUCUCCCUAUGUCUAGCAUUAAAAGAUUACAGUUGGUACAAAAUACGGCUGCUAGA
Molecule: long non-coding RNA, 2497 nt
Organism: Entelurus aequoreus (snake pipefish)
Lineage: Eukaryota; Metazoa; Chordata; Actinopteri; Syngnathiformes; Syngnathidae
Exons: 5
Source: RefSeq, a predicted model, not a curated record